RNAcentral lists this ribosomal RNA (253 nucleotides) under uncultured bacterium. RNAcentral describes it as "partial 16S ribosomal RNA". It matches the Rfam family "Bacterial small subunit ribosomal RNA", at positions 524 to 776 of the family's 1533-position model. The record is from RNAcentral.
UACAGAGGUCUCGAGCGUUGUUCGGAUUCAUUGGGCGUAAAGGGCGCGUAGGCGGCGGGGUAAGUCUGGUGUGAAAUCUCGGAGCUCAACUCCGAAAUUGCACUGGAUACUGCUCUGCUAGAGGGCUGGAGAGGAGAUCGGAAUUCACGGUGUAGCAGUGAAAUGCGUAGAUAUCGUGAGGAAGACCAGUGGCAAAGGCGGAUCUCUGGACAGCUCCUGACGCUGAGGCGCGAAGGCUAGGGGAGCAAACGGG